RNAcentral lists this ribosomal RNA (460 nucleotides) under uncultured bacterium. Its description in RNAcentral is "partial 16S ribosomal RNA". It matches the Rfam family "Bacterial small subunit ribosomal RNA", at positions 338 to 795 of the family's 1533-position model. The record is from RNAcentral.
CCUACGGGGGGCAGCAGUGAGGAAUAUUGGUCAAUGGCCGGAAGGCUGAACCAGCCAAGUCGCGUGAAGGAAGAAGGAUCUAUGGUUUGUAAACUUCUUUUAUAGGGGAAUAAAGGUAUCCACGUGUGGAUAUUUGCAUGUACCUUAUGAAUAAGCAUCGGCUAAUUCCGUGCAAGCAGCCGCGGUAAUACGGAGGAUGCGAGCGUUAUCCGGAUUUAUUGGGUUUAAGGGGUGCGUAGGUUGGUUGUUAAGUCAGCGGUGAAAGUUUGUGGCUCAACCGUAAAAUUGCCGUUGAUACUGGAAGGCUUGAGUGUGGUUGAGGUGGGAGGAAUGCGUGGUGUAGCGGUGAAAUGCAUAGAUAUCACGCAGAACACCGAUUGCGAAGGCAGCUUACUAAGCCAUGACUGACACUGAGGCACGAAAGCGUGGGGAUCAAACAGGAUUAGAUACCCCUGUAGUC